This is a small nuclear RNA of Dromiciops gliroides (monito del monte), 105 nucleotides long. Lineage: Eukaryota; Metazoa; Chordata; Mammalia; Microbiotheria; Microbiotheriidae. The record is from RefSeq and is a predicted model, not a curated record.
GUGCUUGCUUCAGCAGCACAUAUACUAAAAUUGGAACUAUACAGAGAAUUAGCAUGGCCCCUGUGCAAGGACAACAUGCAAAUUCAUGAAGACAAUUACUAUGGU